This 253-nucleotide ribosomal RNA is filed under the name uncultured bacterium. Its description in RNAcentral is "partial 16S ribosomal RNA". It matches the Rfam family "Bacterial small subunit ribosomal RNA", at positions 524 to 776 of the family's 1533-position model. RNAcentral also lists the same sequence under 2 other names. The record is from RNAcentral.
UACAGAGGUGGCAAGCGUUGUUCGGAAUUACUGGGCGUAAAGGGCGCGUAGGCGGCCUACUAAGUCAGACGUGAAAUCCCCCGGCUUAACCUGGGAACUGCGUCUGAUACUGGAAGGCUUGAGGAUGGGAGAGGGAUGUAGAAUUCCAGGUGUAGCGGUGAAAUGCGUAGAUAUCUGGAGGAAUACCGGUGGCGAAGGCGGCAUCCUGGACCAUUACUGACGCUGAGGCGCGAAAGCUAGGGGAGCAAACGGG